GAUGAACGCCAGCGACAGGCCUAACACAUGCAAGUCGAGGGGCAGCACAAGGUAGCAAUACUGAGGUGGCGACCGGCGCACGGGUGAGUAACGCGUAUGCAACCUGCCUGUAACAGGGGAAUAGCCUCUUGAAAGAGAGAUUAAUGCCGCAUAAUACGAGAUUCGGGCAUCCGGAUUUAGUUAAACAUUUAUGGGUUACAGAUGGGCAUGCGUUUCAUUAGGUAGUUGGUGAGGUAACGGCUCACCAAGCCGACGAUGAAUAGGGGUUCUGAGAGGAAGGUCCCCCACACUGGUACUGAGACACGGACCAGACUCCUACGGGAGGCAGCAGUGAGGAAUAUUGGUCAAUGGACGCAAGUCUGAACCAGCCAAGUCGCGUGAAGGAUGAAGGUAUUAUGUAUUGUAAACUUCUUUUGUCAGGGAAUAAUGGGUGUCACGUGUGACGCAGAGGAAUGUACCUGACGAAUAAGCAUCGGCUAACUCCGUGCCAGCAGCCGCGGUAAUACGGAGGAUGCGAGCGUUAUCCGGAUUUAUUGGGUUUAAAGGGUGCGUAGGCGGUUUGUUAAGUCAGUGGUGAAAGUUUGCGGCUCAACCGUAAAAUUGCCAUUGAAACUGGCGAACUUGAGUACAGUAGAGGUAGGCGGAAUUCGUGGUGUAGCGGUGAAAUGCUUAGAUAUCACGAANAACUCC
Molecule: ribosomal RNA, 690 nt
Filed under: uncultured prokaryote
Description: bacterial SSU rRNA
Rfam family: Bacterial small subunit ribosomal RNA
Source: RNAcentral